Molecule: ribosomal RNA, 432 nt
Filed under: uncultured bacterium
Lineage: Bacteria
Description: partial 16S ribosomal RNA
Rfam family: Bacterial small subunit ribosomal RNA
Source: RNAcentral
AUGAACGCUGGCGGCAUGCCUAACACAUGCAAGUCGAACGAAGGCUUCGGCCUUAGUGGCGCACGGGUGCGUAACGCGUGGGAAUCUGCCCUUGGGUUCGGAAUAACAGUUAGAAAUGACUGCUAAAACCGGAUGAUGUCGUAAGACCAAAGAUUUAUCGCCCAAGGAUGAGCCCGCGUAGGAUUAGCUAGUUGGUGGGGUAAAGGCCUACCAAGGCGACGAUCCUUAGCUGGUCUGAGAGGAUGAUCAGCCACACUGGGACUGAGACACGGCCCAGACUCCUACGGGAGGCAGCAGUGGGGAAUAUUGGACAAUGGGCGAAAGCCUGAUCCAGCAAUGCCGCGUGAGUGAUGAAGGCCUUAGGGUUGUAAAGCUCUUUUACCCGGGAUGAUAAUGACAGUACCGGGAGAAUAAGCUCCGGCUAACUUCGUG